Molecule: ribosomal RNA, 490 nt
Filed under: uncultured bacterium
Lineage: Bacteria
Description: partial 16S ribosomal RNA
Rfam family: Bacterial small subunit ribosomal RNA
Source: RNAcentral
UCUUCCCUCUCUCUCCCUGCUUAACACAUGCAAGUCGCAGGGUAACAUGAGGAAAGCUUGCUUUCCUUGAUGACGACUGGCGCACGGGUGAGUAACGCGUAUCCAACCUUCCCAUAACUACGGGAUAACCCGUUGAAAGACGGCCUAAUACCGUAUGACAUCGUUUGCUGACAUCAAAUAACGAUUAAAGGUUUAGCGGUUAUGGAUGGGGAUGCGUCUGAUUAGCUUGUUGGCGGGGUAACGGCCCACCAAGGCGACGAUCAGUAGGGGUUCUGAGAGGAAGGUCCCCCACAUUGGAACUGCGACACGGUCCAAACUCCUACGGGAGGCAGCAGUGAGGAAUAUUGGUCAAUGGGCGAGAGCCUGAACCAGCCAAGUAGCGUGCAGGAUGACGGCCCUAUGGGUUGUAAACUGCUUUUAUGUGGGGAUAAAGUGCGUGACGUGUCAUGCAUUGCAGGUACCACAUGAAUAAGGACCGGCUAAGUCCGUG